This 253-nucleotide ribosomal RNA is filed under the name uncultured bacterium. Its description in RNAcentral is "partial 16S ribosomal RNA". It matches the Rfam family "Bacterial small subunit ribosomal RNA", at positions 524 to 776 of the family's 1533-position model. The record is from RNAcentral.
UACGAAGGGUGCAAACGUUGCUCGGAAUUACUGGGCGUAAAGCGCACGUAGGCGGCUUUGUAAGUCGGAUGUGAAAUCCCUCGGCUUAACCAAGGAAGUGCAUCCGAAACUACAGAGCUUGAGUACUUAAGAGGAUCGCGGAAUUCCCGGUGUAGAGGUGAAAUUCGUAGAUAUCGGGAGGAACACCAGUGGCGAAGGCGGCGAUCUGGGAAGAUACUGACGCUGAGGUGCGAAAGCGUGGGGAGCAAACAGG